UGGGGAAUAUUGCACAAUGGGCGAAAGCCUGAUGCAGCAACGCCGCGUGAGUGAUGAAGGCCUUCGGGUUGUAAAGCUCUGUCUUUUGGGACGAUAAUGACGGUACCAAAGGAGGAAGCCACGGCUAACUACGUGCCAGCAGCCGCGGUAAUACGUAGGUGGCAAGCGUUGUCCGGAUUUACUGGGCGUAAAGGAUGCGUAGGCGGAUUUUUAAGUGAGAUGUGAAAACCCUAAGCUUAACUUGGGGACUGCAUUUCAUACUGGAAAUCUGGAGUGCGGGAGAGGAGAAUGGAAUUCCUAGUGUAGCGGUGAAAUGCGUAGAGAUUAGGAAGAACACCAGUGGCGAAGGCGAUUCUCUGGACCGUAACUGACGCUGAGGCAUGAAAGCGUGGGUAGCAAACAGGAUUAGAUACCCUGGUAGUCCACGCCGUAAACGAUGAGUACUAGGUGUAGGAGGUAUCGACCCCUUCUGUGCCGCAGUUAACACAAUAAGUACUCCGCCUGGGAAGUACGAUCGCAAGAUUAAAACUCAAAUGAA
RNAcentral lists this ribosomal RNA (538 nucleotides) under uncultured bacterium. Its description in RNAcentral is "partial 16S ribosomal RNA". It matches the Rfam family "Bacterial small subunit ribosomal RNA", at positions 355 to 909 of the family's 1533-position model. The record is from RNAcentral.